GUCAGGAUCACUACGGAGUCAUCUCCUGACGUACAGUUGAAAAGCACCACACAAGAAUGUGUCUGUUUAUUCCACUGAGCAAGGAUCAUGCUGAGAGGUAGAAACUGUGAGCUGUAUUCACGUUGCCUGCUAUGGAACAUGGGAGCAAUGACAGCGCGUCAGGUCAAGAGACUGUUGCCUUUCAAUGCAAAGGACCACGAGAGAUUUCAUACUGGGGCACGUACUGACCAUUCGGCAGUGCUACUAAGAAAAGACAGGACUUCCACUGACUCAGCGGGCAGCUGGAAGAGUGAAAAGCCAGAGUCUCCAAGCAAAUAGUACUUUUCCAUGGAUGAUACCUUUGAUUUCAAUAUUUACAUCCUAGAUCACUGUUCAACCAUUUGAAGGGUCUGACCCAGAUGGCUCUACCUGGCUUGAAGGACUCUUUCCUGAGAUUCCAUGAGCUACACUUCGAUCCUAUAAAGGCAUGCAGGCAGCUGCAUGAGAGGUGGAAAGAGAGAGAAUGAUUGAGAUGAAAUCACCACCAACAGCUCCUGCAGGCAGAAAGGCAGCAUUGGAUCCCAGCCACGACACUUCUGCAACCUGGUUUGAAUGGGCCUGAUGGGAUGCCAUAAUGUAACCUACACUGAACAAGGACCUUGCUGAUCUCUUCAAAGAGGAAACUGAUAAAGUAUGAUGACUGUGCUGCUGACUGUGACUUUCCUUAUGCAUCCUACCUAUCUUGUCUCUUUUUCCAUCCAGAUGAAUGAGAUUCUAAGGCUGAGAGCAGGUGUUUGUGAUGAGAUCCCAUGCUGUGACAUGCAUGCAGCACAUUCUUACAUGAAAAGCCCUGGCUGAUGAAAUGACCACAGGAAGACAACAUGGAACCCUCCCGGCAGGAUCAGAAGAAGCUUAAUUAAGAUCUGUGAUUAAUUUUAAAGGACCUUUUGUUGGAAACAGAGCAAGGAACUUCAGUCUGGCUUUCAAAAGUGCUGAACACCCAAAGUUCCUACUGCGGUCUCCAGGAGUUACAGGUAUCUGUUCUGCAGCUCCUGCCCUCCCUGCUCCUCUCCCAGUGAGCAUUAUAGGACCCUGGUACCAGAACAUGGGGAAAUUGAAAGACCUAGGAAAGUGGAAAAUUCAAAGUCUUUCCCCCCCUGCCCACCCCUACCUCCCCAUCCUGCGUAUUCCCUCCUGCCGCUGUGUAGGGAAGAAAGACUGCACUCCUGCCCCACAGGUGGAGAAAAGCCUCCUGGUCCCACUGCCCAGGGCUCCUCUGGGAUGAUGAUGCUGCCACAGACCCGGGGACCAGCUCUGCACCCCCUGGAUGCUCCACCAGCACCCCAGAAACAUGGUGGGAGCUCAAGUGGCAGGUGAGCUGAGAGGCCCAGAGAGCCCAAGCCAUGAACUUCCCUUGGGGAAAGAGAGAUGCAGGUAUCUCAGCAGAAGCUACAUCUUUCCAAGGGUAGUAACUGUGCCAGGAGAAUAUGUCCAGCUGCCUCUUAGUAAAGGGAUGAUAAACACCAGGCCAGGGAAUGUCCUUUAUUGGAAAAGACAGAUUAAAAAAUAGAUAAAAAAGAGGAGGAAAUGCUUGAUGUGCACUUGAAGAGCCUGGAUUUGUUCAAAUACAAGCAUGGAAAGUCUGAGUGAUCUUCACAUUCAGAUCACAACUUCACUGUAAAGGAAAGGUCACUUUUGCUUGUGUUCUGGGGCAGCUUUUUCUCUUUUGUCCCCUUGAGAGGAUUCUAGGAGCGGCUGGAUUCAAUCCUAGUCCCAGACAUGGAUCUGUCCGUACAAUCAGCCACACACAAGCCUGCCAGAAAAUAUUUGCCUUGAAAAUAAACAAGAUGAUAAACCUUCAUUUAAUGUUCACAACUGCUAGCUCUGUUUGAGGAGUCCAGAGUGAAUAAUGUGUGGUAAUUCAGAGACAACUCAAGAGCUACCUGACCUCACUGAGUUAUUGAUGAUGAGAUGGGGAGCUCUUCAUGAAGCCCUGAGCACUCUUUGUGGGCUGUUGCUUCCUGCUCCCCUUGACCAAAAGCCUCUCAUCAGGGAAGCAGGGCAGAUGUUCCCACUUCUUCAGCUGUACUUUUGUGACUAUCUCAUCACAGUGGAUAUUUUGGAUAUGGCGGAUGCAUUGGCUAGUUAUCUACUGGAACUUCAGUAUGGCCUUUGACACUGUCUCUGGUAAGAUCCUCAUAGACAAGCUGUCAAUGUAUGGGCUGGACGAGCAAACAGUAAGGAGGACUGAAAACUGGUUGAAGAGCCAGGCCCAGAGCCCGGUGGUCAGUGGCAUGAAGUCUAGUUGGAGACCAGUAACUAACAGUGUACCCCAGAGGACAGUACCAGGUCCAGUCCUGUUUAACAUCUUCACUAAUGAUCUGGAUGAUGGGGGACAGUGUACCCUCAGCAAAUUUGAAGAUGACACAAAACUGGGAGGAGUGGCUGAUAUGCUAGAGAGUCAUGCUGCCAUUCAGAAAGAUCUCAACAGGCUGGAGAAACGGGCUAACAGGAAAAUCAUGAAGCUCAACAAGGAGAAGGGCCAAGUUCUGCACCUGGGGAGGAACAACUCCCUGCACCAGUACGAGCAGGGGGCCACACAGCUGGAAAGGAGAAAAGGACCAGAGGUGUCCUGGCGGACACCAAGUUGAACAUGAGCCAGCCGUGUGCCCAUGUGGCAAAGAAGGCAAAUGGCAUCCUGGUCUGCAUUAGGAGGAGUAUUGCCAGCAGGUCAAGGGAGGUGAUUCUUCCCCUCUACUCAGCACCAGUAAGGCCACACCUGGAGUCCUGUGUCCAGUUCUAGACUCCUUAGUAGAAAAGAAACAUGGACACGUUGGUGAAAGUCCAGUGAAGGGCCAUAAAGAUGAUUAAGGGACUGGAGCAUCUCUCCUAUAAGGAGAAGCUGAAAGACCUGGGACUGUUCAGGCUGGAAGAGAGAAGGCUCAAGGGAGGAUCUUAUCAAAGUACAUAAGAAGACAGGGACAGGUUCUUUCCAGUGGUGCCCCAGUGACAGAACAAGAGGCAACAGGCACAAACUGAAACUCAGGAAGGUCCCUCUGAACAUCAAGAAAAAGUUUACACUGAGCGUGACGAAGCACUGGCACACAUUGCCCAGAAAGGUGGUAG
Calidris pugnax (ruff) is the source of this 3105-nucleotide long non-coding RNA. RefSeq lists it as uncharacterized. NCBI's taxonomy places the organism in Eukaryota, Metazoa, Chordata, Aves, Charadriiformes, Scolopacidae. The transcript has 14 exons. The record is from RefSeq and is a predicted model, not a curated record.